Drosophila suzukii is the source of this 1377-nucleotide non-coding RNA. NCBI's taxonomy places the organism in Eukaryota, Metazoa, Arthropoda, Insecta, Diptera, Drosophilidae. The record is from RefSeq and is a predicted model, not a curated record.
GGUGAGAUUGAGAGAGAGAAUUGUGCUUGUGUUUGGCGAACAAAUUGAAAUAGCUCAACCGGCAAAAAAGCUUUCCAGAGUUUCACAAUUUGGCGCGAAGAAAACGAAAUCGAAAUCUCUUUUGGGCUAGGGCAGUACGAAUAUCGCGGGGUGUUUAUAUUUACUAUAUCAUUCACUCACUUUCUGAGUAAAAGAGUCGUAGCGUAGUAUUUCUCUCGCUCAUUUGCAGAAUAUUGUGUUUUUUUUUGUAUUUGAACCCUGCUCUUGGGAAAAGUUGCGGUCAGUAUUCUAGGAAUUAGUAAUAUACGGUUUUAUUACAACUAUGUCAUUUUCCAGUCGCAUCACUUGUGUUUGUUUAUUUUUUGUGCUUGCCAUUUUCCACAGGGAUACGUAUACGAACACAAUGCCAGGGUAUCUCCUUACUGGCCACUCAUUACUUGCAGUUUUCCCUUUGUUUCAGUCGCUUUAUCAGCAUUUCAAAUGUGGGAACCACAGACGGACCCCGCCCCCCGCCUACCCGCCCACCACUUCCACCGAAGGGCGUGGCGACAGUGGGACGCCUUAACAAAUUCUAGGGCAAAACAAAUUUCCCAAAGCGCAACAGUUGACACGAAGAGAAUUAUUUUGGUGUUCUUCUGUUCUCUCUUUUAGAUUCUUUUUUGCGUUCUUGGGAAUAGGAAAACAAUUUGGCAAACAGCAUUUGACUACUAAUUGUUGAUGCUUUCGCUGCUGUUUGCUGUAACUCUUUUAUCUCUGGGCCAGCUACAACACAAAUACAACCAAAGUCAAGUUCAUAAUUUCAAUUUUCAAGGUUUUUUCAACAAAAGGGGCAACGAAAAAAAAAAAACAGAAACGAAAAAGAACAGCAGAAAACAAAGUAAACAUGCCUAGUAAAAUAGCGCGAAAAGAGUGCAAAAAAAAAAGUGUGCAAAAAAGAAAGAGUAAUGGGGGGGGGGGGAAAUCGGGGGGGUCUGUCGACAGUGUUUGUGUUUUAUUCGACUUCUCUUUUUUAAUUUUUUUCCCGGCUCCCCAUUCUCCACCCAUUUGUUUUGCUUUUGGCCUUUUGUUUACGAGUGUUUUAUGGCGGGCCAAUAAUUGGCCUUCACUCCCACUGGGGUCCUCGAUAUGGGCGAUCGAUCCAGAUGCAGAUUGAGAAAUAAUUAGGCACUAUCUGAGUGAACUCAAGUAGUAGCGAAUGCGAAUAAUUAAAUCGAGUCAGCGAAAUCAGAUAUGAAUUGCAAUUAUCUAUCAAUUUUAUUAUCAUUAUUAUAAGUUAUCAUCCAAGUUGUACCAAAGGUUCUUAACUGCGAGGAACAGAAAUAUUUGUUUAUUUAUUUGGUUAUUUGCUAAUAUUCUUAAUGAAUUUACUAAAUAUAA